This 336-nucleotide unclassified non-coding RNA is filed under the name soil metagenome. RNAcentral's name for it is "partial contains 5.8S ribosomal RNA, internal transcribed spacer 2, and large subunit ribosomal RNA". The stretch from base 1 to 120 matches the Rfam family "5.8S ribosomal RNA", at positions 35 to 154 of the family's 154-position model. The record is from RNAcentral.
GAUGAAGAACGUAGCGAAAUGCGAUAGGUAGUGUGAAUUGCAGAAUUCAGUGAAUCAUCGAAUCUUUGAACGCACAUUGCGCCCCUUGGUAUUCCAUGGGGCAUGCCUGUUCGAGCGUCAUUUGUACCUUCAAGCUUUGCUUGGUGUUGGGUGUUUGUCUCGCCUUUGCGUGUAGACUCGCCUUAAAAUAAUUGGCAGCCGGCGUAUUGAUUUCGGAGCGCAGUACAUCUCGCGCUUUGCACUCAUAACGACAGCGUCCAAAAGUACAUUUUACACUCUUGACCUCGGAUCAGGUAGGGAUACCCGCUGAACUUAAGCAUAUCAAUAAGCGGAGGA